UCAUUGCAAUCCCUGCAAAACCAGAUUCAGGACUGGAGAGAGAAAAUAAGGGCUCCAUGUACUUGUGGAGACAGGAUUUGGACCCAGGUCUCUCCUCCCACCAAAGUCCAGGGUCUACAGGUCCGAGUUCAAAUCCCGGUUCCUGCACUCCCAGUCAUAUGACCAAAGAGGAUUCAGGUUCUGUGUCCAACUCAUGGGGACAGCAACACACUCAUCUCUCACAGUGAAGACCCAGUAAGAAAUGGCAGCUGUAGGCCGGGAGAGGAAGCUGAGAUCCUGAAAGAGGUGGGGCCCGGCCCGGGGUCACUCAGCAAUUUUCAGUAGCUGCUCCCUACUGGAGAACUGUGUGUCUGAGGUCGCGGCCAUCUGUCCAAAGAGUUUCUUCUGACCAAAGAGCUCAUUUUCAUAGGGUGACCACAGAGGACACCCGUGGGAAGAGGAGUCGGGGCAUCCCUUGCUGGAAAUACCCCAGCCCUGAAGGAUGCUGGCAACACCCACCAUUCAAUUCGGAACAAAAAGUCCACUCCAGGAGCCCCUGAGAGCGUCAAAAAGAACAAGAUUUCCCCCACUGGACUUUACCUCCAGAUGCCCAGGACAUGGGACAUCAUGCAAAGACCUAGCACGUGCUUUUCCUGACUGGGGAAGAACUGGGGACAGAAGGCCCGAUUUGCAUUUCUACUAUUUUCCCAGGAGAUGUUGAC
Molecule: long non-coding RNA, 701 nt
Organism: Nomascus leucogenys (northern white-cheeked gibbon)
Lineage: Eukaryota; Metazoa; Chordata; Mammalia; Primates; Hylobatidae
Exons: 6
Source: RefSeq, a predicted model, not a curated record